This 301-nucleotide ribosomal RNA is filed under the name uncultured bacterium. RNAcentral describes it as "partial 16S ribosomal RNA". It matches the Rfam family "Bacterial small subunit ribosomal RNA", at positions 509 to 807 of the family's 1533-position model. The record is from RNAcentral.
CAGUCGCCGCGGUAAUACGUAGGGUGCGAGCGUUAAUCGGAAUUACUGGGCGUAAAGCGUGCGCAGGCGGUUGUGUAAGACGGGUGUGAAAUCCCCGGGCUUAACCUGGGAACUGCGCUUGUGACUGCACAGCUAGAGUAUGGCAGAGGGGGGUGGAAUUCCACGUGUAGCAGUGAAAUGCGUAGAGAUGUGGAGGAACACCGAUGGCGAAGGCAGCCCCCUGGGCCAAUACUGACGCUCAUGCACGAAAGCGUGGGGAGCAAACAGGAUUAGAUACCCCCGUAGUCCCUGUCUCUUAUAC